This is a long non-coding RNA of Oncorhynchus tshawytscha (Chinook salmon), 2821 nucleotides long. The record is from Ensembl. NCBI's taxonomy places the organism in Eukaryota, Metazoa, Chordata, Actinopteri, Salmoniformes, Salmonidae.
GGGAGAGGGGGAGGGGCCGGGGGAGGGCUUGGGGAGAGGAGUGAGAUAGGGGAAAGAGGCUAGGGGACAGGGGGAGAUAGGGGCUGUGGGAGGGAGGGAGAAGGGGAGAGAGGGGGACAGAGGCUAGGGGACAGGGGAGAUAGGGGCUGUGGGAGGGAGGGAGAAGGGGAGAGAGGCUAGGGGAAAGGGCUAGGGACAGGGGGAGAUAGGGGCUGUGGGAGGGAGGAGAAGGGGAGAGAGGCUAGGGGACAGAGGGAGAUAGGGACAGAGGCUAGGGGACAGGGGGAGAUAGGGACAGAGGCUAGGGGACAGGGGGAGAUAGGGGCUGUGGGAGGGGAGAUAGGGGCUGUGGGAGGGAGGAGGGGACAGAGGCUAGGGGACAGGGGGAGAUAGGGGCUGUGGGAGGGAGGGAGAUAGGGACAGAGGCUAGGGACAGGGGAGAUAGGGGCUGUGGGAGGGAGGGAGAUAGGGACAGAGGCUAGGGGACAGAGGCUAGGGGACAGGGGGAGAUAGGGGCUGUGGGAGGGAGGGAGAUAGGGACAGAGGCUAAGGGGAGAUAGGGGCUGUGGGAGGGAGGGAGAAGGGGAGAGAGGCUAGGGGACAGAGGGACAGAGGCUAGGGGACAGAGGGAGAUAGGGACAGAGGCUAGGGGACAGGGAGAUAGGGGCUGUGGGAGGGAGGGAGAUAGGGACAGAGGCUAGGGGACAGGGGAGAUAGGGGCUGUGGGAGGGAGGGAGAAGGGGAGAGAGGCUAGGGGACAGAGGGAGAUAGGGACAGAGGCUAGGGGACAGGGGGAGAUAGGGGCAGGGAGGGAGAAGGGGAGAGAGGCUAGGGGACAGAGGGAGAUAGGGACUGUGGGAGGGAGGGAGAAGGGGAGAGAGGCUAGGGGACAGAGGGACAGAGGCUAGGGGACAGAGGGAGAUAGGGACAGAGGCUAGGGGACAGGGGGAGAUAGGGGCUGUGGGAGGGAGGGAGAAGGGGAGAGAGGCUGUUAUAGAAAAGGAAAGGGAGUACAGUGAGAAUCUACAGUAGCGUUUUCCAAACUCGGUCCUGGCCCCGCCCCCCCCUGGGUGCAUGUUUUGGUUCUUGCCCUAGCACUACACAGAUUACUCAAAUAAUCUUCAAGCAUGAUUAUUUGAAUCAGCUGUGCAGUGCCAAAAGGUGUCCCCCUUGGGGUCCCCUGGACCUAGUUUGGGAAACACUGCUCUACAACAACAGAAGUGUGGAGAAUGACAUCACCAAUGACAUUAUUUCAUUUAUUUUUUCGUAUUAAAAACCCUAAUUUAAAAAUAAAAAAAAAUCUAUACUUCCUGUUGUAGAUCGCAGAUUCCAUGAGAGGGGAUUGGCUAACUGGACAAACCAACCAAUGAGAGACGGCCUUGGAAGGAUAAAGUAAAAAAAAAAAAAAAAACAUGAUGAGGAUCGCCCAGUCACUUCAGCCAUUGGUGUCUCAGAAGUUUGGUCGCUUGUUAAAAUGUCCAGUCCCUCUUUGACCACAACCCCAAUUGAAAAACCCCACUGUACAAACAUCUUUGUAAACAACACAAGGGUUGCCUCCAAAAUUGCACCCUAAUUCCUUAUAUAGUGUACUACUUUUGACCAGGGCCCAUAGGGAAACCAAGAGGGAAACCAGUAGGGAAACCAGUAGGGAAACCAAUAGGGAUAGGAACCAAUAGGGAAACCAGUAGGGAAACCAAUAGAAAAACCAACAGGGAAACCAACAGGAAACCAAUAGGGAAACCAAUAGGGAAACCAAUAGGGAAACCAAUAGGAAACCAAUAGGGAAACCCACAGGGAAACCAUUGGGCUCUGGUCAAAUAUAAUACACUUGGGUGCCAUUUCAGACGCAAGAAAACCCAGGCAAGACAUAGAAAGAUGAUUGGAUCAUAGAUAGAUUCUCCAGAAAGAAAGAUGAUUGGAUCAUAGAUAGAUUCUCCAGAAAGAAAAAAAAAAAAACCCUAUUUGAAGGCAACAUCAUCAGGCUAAAAGACAAUAUGAUCAUUACUGAAAAAACAUGAUACUUUUUUUUCUCUUUUUACACAUAUAAUCAUCACUGUUGUAUCCACAGGUUUACUUCUCAAAUAAAACUCACAUAUAAUAAUAACUGGUUGUAGCCACAGGUUUACUCCUCAAAAUAAAACUCAUAUCAAUAGCUGUCGCAGUAUAGCAUCUCUCAGUAGAGACAAAACUAGUCAUUUAAAAAAAAGACAGAAGAAGACAGAGAAAUGAUGUUGAAUGAUCGAAGGAAAAUAAAAAAAGUUAGAAAAUAAACCCCAGGAGCAAGUUAUCUGUAUGAACUGAACUAUAUAGGGUGCCUCUUUGGGACUUUGUCUUUUUCUCUCUGGCUAAUAUAGAGGUGCUUAUAAAUACCGCAUCACCGUGGCAACGUGCACAUUCUGGUUAGACAUCCGUUUCUACGGCUACUGUCUCCGUUAGCAAUAACACUGUGUGUAGGAAUCGGGAUUUUAUUUUGGUUCAUAUUGACUGAUUUACCUAUUUCAUUUUACUUUAUUUUAUGAACGUAAUCUUUCCAUUUCAGUUGCAUACAGUUGGAAUAUCUAUAUUUCUAAGUAGAAAUCUUGUUCUCGUGACACUGGAGAGUGAUAAUGGUUAAUCUGUGUGUAAAAACUGAUGUAUUGUAGCUUUGAAUCCGUUGGUCGGUUUGUUUGUUGGUUGUUAAAGGGGCGUCACCACACAGGAAAGUCCAUUCCAUGUUAGGUUUUAGUAACGUCGGAAUGCUGGCACUGCUGAGAGAGACAGCAGCAAAUCAGACCUGAGAGAGAGAGAGAGAGAGAGAGAGAGAGGAAGGUGGGUAGAGAGA